This 735-nucleotide ribosomal RNA is filed under the name Salmonella enterica subsp. enterica serovar Mikawasima. Its description in RNAcentral is "partial 23S ribosomal RNA". It matches the Rfam family "Bacterial large subunit ribosomal RNA", at positions 2164 to 2893 of the family's 2925-position model. Lineage: Bacteria; Pseudomonadati; Pseudomonadota; Gammaproteobacteria; Enterobacterales; Enterobacteriaceae. The record is from RNAcentral.
GUGGACGCCAGUCUGCAUGGAGCCGACCUUGAAAUACCACCCUUUAAUGUUUGAUGUUCUAACGUGGACCCGUAAUCCGGGUUGCGGACAGUGUCUGGUGGGUAGUUUGACUGGGGCGGUCUCCUCCUAAAGAGUAACGGAGGAGCACGAAGGUUGGCUAAUCCUGGUCGGACAUCAGGAGGUUAGUGCAAUGGCAUAAGCCAGCUUGACUGCGAGCGUGACGGCGCGAGCAGGUGCGAAAGCAGGUCAUAGUGAUCCGGUGGUUCUGAAUGGAAGGGCCAUCGCUCAACGGAUAAAAGGUACUCCGGGGAUAACAGGCUGAUACCGCCCAAGAGUUCAUAUCGACGGCGGUGUUUGGCACCUCGAUGUCGGCUCAUCACAUCCUGGGGCUGAAGUAGGUCCCAAGGGUAUGGCUGUUCGCCAUUUAAAGUGGUACGCGAGCUGGGUUUAGAACGUCGUGAGACAGUUCGGUCCCUAUCUGCCGUGGGCGCUGGAGAACUGAGGGGGGCUGCUCCUAGUACGAGAGGACCGGAGUGGACGCAUCACUGGUGUUCGGGUUGUCAUGCCAAUGGCACUGCCCGGUAGCUAAAUGCGGAAGAGAUAAGUGCUGAAAGCAUCUAAGCACGAAACUUGCCCCGAGAUGAGUUCUCCCUGAGACUUAGAGUCUCCUGAAGGAACGUUGAAGACGACGACGUUGAUAGGCCGGGUGUGUAAGCGCAGCGAUGCGUUGAGCUA